AGUUGGUGAUGGACAGAGAAGCCUGCAGUCCAUGGAGUUUCAAAGAGUCAGACACGGCUGAACAACUGAACUGACUGAACUGAACUGAAUACCUAAUAUAGUGGCUGGCUCAUAGCAGGCUUUCUAUUUAUUGAACUAUAUUGUUAAAUUACAGCAGUACAUUAACCUUACUCAUCUCUCUCAUGGUUUAGUAUACUUUGAUCAUAUCCUUCUUUCUACAGACUGAAAAAAACAACUAGAAAAUCCUUCCAACACUUUGAUCAAUUUAGGUUGGCUUCUGGGGAUUUGUAUCAGCUGUUAAGUUUUUCUUGAUGAGCAGCCACCAGGAUUACCUAUAUGAUUGUGAAUGCAAAUCCACUUUUCGUCUUUUACAGGGAAAUGAUAAGAGUUUUGUUUCAUCAUUGUUUUCAACACUCUUCCUGUUAAUGCCCACCAUAUUCUUGGCUUUUAGGACCACAGUCACAACUGGGCCAGCUUCUUCACAGAUUCAUAAACAGUGAUUUUUAUUUUACUCUAACAAUAAUAUUGUGUAUUAUCUGACUCAGAGACUGAUGUGAUGUAUUUAUAAUAAUUCCUGGGAUCAUCUCCAGUGAGUAUCCAGAUAAACCUCCAGAUACUCAGCUACUCCAGCUGUAGGAGACUGGCAUGAUUCCAGAAGGUCCACAGUGACCCUUUCAUUUUUUAUCACGAACAACUGUCUCCACUCGGGAGGCUUUUCUAAUAAGUCCCUAGGAGAAUUUUGUUGAUCUCUCUGCUAUGUAUCCUGACUGCCCUAAUUUCCUUCUGUAUUCUGUUUUUAAAGUUUUAAAAUUGAAAGAUGUCAUACAUACAUCUUCAGUGACUUCUAGAUCCCUUUCUUGAGUCAUAACUGAGCCCAUCCUCUCAUAGCAUGGAUAGGUUUGCAUGACCUUAUACAAUGAAGUACCUGUGACUAGUCUCCCUACUUGGUCUCAUGAGAUCUUCCUGCAAUUUAUUCUUAUCAGUUUG
This 987-nucleotide long non-coding RNA is filed under the name Capra hircus (goat). RNAcentral's name for it is "lncRNA (ENSCHIG00010017394.1)". Lineage: Eukaryota; Metazoa; Chordata; Mammalia; Artiodactyla; Bovidae. The record is from RNAcentral.